UUCCAGCUCCAGUAGCGUAUAUUAAAGUUGUUGCAGUUAAAAAGCUCGUAGUUGGAUUUCUGGUUUCACAGAACUGGCCUACUUCCUCAAGGUCGUGUGCGCCGUGUUUUGUGUACCAUCCUUCUAGAAAUUGUGUUCCAUCCCUUCACUGGGAUAGAUCCGAGAUCUAGAUCUUUUACUUUGAAGAAAUUAGAGUGUUCAAAGCAGGCUCGCGCUGUGAAUACAUUAGCAUGGAAUAAUAAUUUAGGACUUGGUAUCCUAUUUUGUUGGUUUUCAGGAUCUAAGUAAUGAUUGAUAGGGAUAGUUGGGGGUGCUAGUAUUUUGCGGCCAGAGGUGAAAUUCUGUGAUUCGCGAAAGACUAACUUAUGCGAAAGCAUUCACCAAGGAUGUCUUCAUUG
Molecule: ribosomal RNA, 398 nt
Filed under: Cercozoa sp.
Lineage: Eukaryota; Cercozoa
Description: partial small subunit ribosomal RNA
Rfam family: Eukaryotic small subunit ribosomal RNA
Source: RNAcentral